CGGGGUGUAGUUUAAUGGUAGAAUGAGCGGCUGGGGGUCGCUUGGCUGGAGUUCGAUUCUCCGCACCCCGA
This 71-nucleotide transfer RNA is filed under the name Candidatus Levyibacteriota bacterium. RNAcentral's name for it is "tRNA-Pro". It matches the Rfam family "tRNA". Rfam says of the family: Transfer RNA (tRNA) molecules are approximately 80 nucleotides in length. Lineage: Bacteria; Candidatus Levyibacteriota. The record is from RNAcentral.